AUAUUAUCAACAUACAUUUACCUUACCAUCAUAGUGUCAUUACUAUAAUAUUAGAAUACUGUCACCAUAUUAUCACCAUGCAAUCAGCAAAUUAUCACCAUUCAAUCACCAAAUCAUUACUAUACUAUUACAAUACAGUCAGCAGUUAUGGAAUUACUGAGUCAAAGCCCAGAUUGCAAUCCUAUCAGAACACUGUGGUGGAACUUGAAGCUGGCCGUACAUCCAAGAAAACCCUCAAACAUGACAUAGUUCAAGCAGUAAUAUAAAGAUUUGGGGUCACUUAGAAAUGUCCUUGUUUUAAAAAAACUAAAAUAAAUUGUCCAUUAAAAUAACAUCAAAUUGAAUAGGGCCUUUUUCUGGACCAGGGUGUGUUAGGGUGUAUUCUGGACAACGUCGUGCUGGUCCAGAAUAAGGCCCUAACACACCCUGGUAACUGAACGUCAUGCUGGUCCAGAAUAAGGCCCUAACAAACCCUGGUAACUGAACGCCAUACUGGUCCAGAAUAAGGCCCUAACACACCCUGGUAACUGAACGUCAUGCUGGUCCAGAAUAAGGCCCUAACACACCCUGGUAACUGAACGUCAUGCUGGUCCAGAAUAAGGCCCUUAACACACCCAGGUAACUGAACGUCAUGCUGGUCCAGAAUAAGACCCUAACACACCCUGGUAACUGAACGUCAUGCUGGUCCAGAAUAAGGCCCUUAACACACCCUGGUAACUGAACGUCAUACUGGUCCAGAAUAAGGCCCUUAACACACCCUGGUAACUGAACGUCAUGCUGGUCCAGAAUAAGGCCCUAACACACCCUGGUAACUGAACGUCAUGCUGGUCCAGAAUAAGGCCCUAACACACCCUGGUAACUGAACGUCAUGCUGGUCCAGAAUAAGGCCCUAACACUCUCUGCUUGCAUCCUAAAUACAGAAUGUUUCUAGUUUCACAUUUCAGUCACCUCAAAAUGUCUGCUUCUUGAAUGUGAAACUAAUAAAGGAACACUUAUAAACCAGAAAGAGGAGGUUACAUCACCCUGCGCACACACACACACACACACACACACACACAUAAACACUCAAACACACACUUGUUUUUGUCAUUCCUGCUCCCAAGUGCAAGAAUCCCCUUAUUCACCCCUCUAGUUCAUAAUAAAUUUGCUCAAUGGAGAGAACUGGGGAUCCAUACUGUAGGGGAUCUAUGGCUUGACAUUUUUUUUUGUGGGAUCACAAUUGAUUUCCUUUAACCCUAACAUCACCCUUACUUUAACCACUAAAACCCAAUUAGACUAUAACCCAACCCUACAUCAAGCCUAAAAUAAUCCAUUCACAUAGAAUGAAGCCCCGGUUCAGUCAUGUAGGAUGAAGCCCCGGUUCAAUCAUGUAGGAUGAAGCCCCGGUUCAGUCAUGUAGGAUGAAGCCCAGAUUCAAUCAUGUAGGAUGAAGCCCCGAUUCAAUCAUGUAGGAUGAAGCCCCGAUUCAAUCAUGUAGGAUGAAGCCCCGAUUCAAUCAUGUAGGAUGAAGCCCCGGUUCAAUCAUGUAGGAUGAAGCCCCGAUUCAAUCAUGUAGGAUGAAGCCCUGAUUCAAUCAUGUAGGAUGAAGCCCCGAUUCAAUCAUGUAGGAUGAAGCCCCGAUUCAAUCAUGUAGGAUGAAGCCCCGGUUCAAUCAUGUAGGAUGAAGCCCCGGGUCCAGUCAUGUAGGAUGAAGCCCCGAUUCAAUCAUGUAGGAUGAAGCCCCGAUUCAAUCAUGUAGGAUGAAGCCCCGGGUCCAGUCAUGUAGGAUGAAGCCCCGGGUCCAGUCAUGUAGGAUGAAGCCCCGGGUCCAGUCAUGUAGGGUGAAGCCCCGGGUCCGGUCAUGUAGGAUGAAGCACCGGGUCCAGUGAUGUAGGAUGAAGCCCCGGUACAGACAUGUAGGAUGAAGCCCUGGGUCCAGUCAUGAAGGAUGAAGCCCCGGUACAGACAUGUAGGAUGAAGCCCCG
Esox lucius (northern pike) is the source of this 1964-nucleotide long non-coding RNA. The record is from Ensembl. NCBI's taxonomy places the organism in Eukaryota, Metazoa, Chordata, Actinopteri, Esociformes, Esocidae.